CCUACGGGUGGCAGCAGUGGGGAAUAUUGCACAAUGGGGGAAACCCUGAUGCAGCAACGCCGCGUGAGUGAAGAAGUAUUUCGGUAUGUAAAGCUCUAUCAGCAGGGAAGAAGAUGACGGUACCUGAGUAAGAAGCCCCGGCUAACUACGUGCCAGCAGCCGCGGUAAUACGUAGGGGGCAAGCGUUAUCCGGAUUUACUGGGUGUAAAGGGAGCGCAGACGGUGAGACAAGUCUGAAGUGAAAGCCCGGGGCUCAACCCCGGGACUGCUCUGGAAACUGUACGGCUGGAGUGCAGGAGAGGUAAGUGGAAUUCCUAGUGUAGCGGUGAAAUGCGUAGAUAUUAGGAGGAACACCAGUGGCGAAGGCGGCUUACUGGACUGUAACUGACGUUGAGGCUCGAAAGCGUGGGGAGCAAACAGGAUUAGAUACCCCUGUAGUC
RNAcentral lists this ribosomal RNA (440 nucleotides) under uncultured bacterium. RNAcentral describes it as "partial 16S ribosomal RNA". It matches the Rfam family "Bacterial small subunit ribosomal RNA", at positions 338 to 795 of the family's 1533-position model. The record is from RNAcentral.